UACGGAGGGUGCAAGCGUUAAUCGGAAUUACUGGGCGUAAAGCGUGCGUAGGCGGUUUGUUAAGUCCGUUGUGAAAGCCCCGAGCUCAACUUGGGAAUUGCAGUGGAUACUGGCAGGCUGGAGUACGGUAGAGGAAGGUGGAAUUCCCGGUGUAGCGGUGAAAUGCGUAGAUAUCGGAAGGAACAUCAGUGGCGAAAGCGGCUUCCUGGUCCAGCACCGACGUUCAGGCACGAAAGCGUGGGGAGCAAACAGG
This 253-nucleotide ribosomal RNA is filed under the name uncultured bacterium. RNAcentral's name for it is "partial 16S ribosomal RNA". It matches the Rfam family "Bacterial small subunit ribosomal RNA", at positions 524 to 776 of the family's 1533-position model. The record is from RNAcentral.